GAUGAACGCUGGCGGCGUGCCUAAUACAUGCAAGUCGAGCGAACAGAUGAGGAGCUUGCUCCUCUGACGUUAGCGGCGGACGGGUGAGUAACACGUGGAUAACCUACCUAUAAGACUGGGAUAACUUCGGGAAACCGGAGCUAAUACCGGAUAAUAUAUUGAACCGCAUGGUUCAAUAGUGAAAGACGGUUUUGCUGUCACUUAUAGAUGGAUCCGCGCCGCAUUAGCUAGUUGGUAAGGUAACGGCUUACCAAGGCAACGAUGCGUAGCCGACCUGAGAGGGUGAUCGGCCACACUGGAACUGAGACACGGUCCAGACUCCUACGGGAGGCAGCAGUAGGGAAUCUUCCGCAAUGGGCGAAAGCCUGACGGAGCAACGCCGCGUGAGUGGUGAAGGUCUUCGGAUCGUAAAACUCUGUUAUUAGGGAAGAACAAAUGUGUAAGUAACUGUGCACAUCUUGACGGUACCUAAUCAGAAAGCCACGGCUAACUACGUG
Molecule: ribosomal RNA, 497 nt
Filed under: uncultured bacterium
Lineage: Bacteria
Description: partial 16S ribosomal RNA
Rfam family: Bacterial small subunit ribosomal RNA
Source: RNAcentral